UAACUUGGUUACACGAUAUACUUGAAGACUGUAGUAGGAACAAAAUGCUUGGCAGACCAAACUAAUUAGGUAAGCUGAGAACUAAUUAAACCCUAGAAUAAUUGGUUGCUAGUGAUAGAAUCAUCUUGUACUGUUGUACAUAACUAAUUUUGGUUUCAACUUUGGUGUGGUCAUGUAGCUUUGAAGUUUCCUGGAGACAGACUACUCUUGCAUCAUUAUGUGCAACCCACAGGGAUCUCGCUCGGUGAGACAUGCACACCUAUGCCACAUCUUUACAAGUAAGUUUGUUUUGCUUAGCCAUGGACAGUGAGGUCCCCCUUCUCUGAUUUCUUCAUUCCCAGUUCAUUUAUUUAUUUGAUAUCAAUAUCUUUACUAUAGGAUUCAUGUCCUUGCCAACUCUUCAAUUGUUAAUUGCACACUCAGAGUCUGG
RNAcentral lists this long non-coding RNA (430 nucleotides) under Triticum aestivum (bread wheat). RNAcentral describes it as "long non-coding RNA (TAES_LNC007511)". The record is from RNAcentral. Lineage: Eukaryota; Viridiplantae; Streptophyta; Magnoliopsida; Poales; Poaceae.